AGGACGAAGCAGAGCAAUGCUCUGCGGAGGAGAAGAGGAAAGAAACAUGGGCGAGGCUAGAGAAGGUGGCAAGUAUGAAGCCUGUAACUGGAAAGACAGCUGUUCUGGUAACUCCUUUAGCAACCUCUAUUGCCUGCUAAAUGAAGAUGAUGGAAUGGUUGUUGGUUAAGCUAUGGUCUGGAUUUGAUCUUUGUAAUGUUAUAUAGUUUUGAUGUUGUUAGCUUAUGUGGGUUUUAUGCUAAAUCUCUUGCUUUAAAAGUGAGGAAGCCUUGAAACCAUGCUGCAGAUUUCUAUAUGAAACUCUUUGUAUUCAAUUAAGUUUAUAUAAGAAGUCAUUUUCAACAAUGUGUUAUGUGUGUGUAUAUGAGGUACAUAGAGUCUUGCUACAGAAACAAAAACAUAGUUAUUGUCUUCAUUGUAGGCAUGCACUCGGGUUCGGAUAAUUCGGUUUGGUUCUAACAUAAAUCUUACCAAAUUUGAAAUAAAGUUUGGUUCGGUAUUCGAUUUUCAAAAAUUUAAUUUUUUUUUAUUUUGGUUAUAUUUUGAUUUAAUUUUGUUAAAAUUUCAGAUAAGUUUGGUUAAAUUCAAUUAGUUCAAUUAUUACGGUUUGAAAUGUGGCCAAUUCGGUUCAAAUUUUGGCAUAAUUUGGUCGUAAUUUUUUUUUUCAAAGAAAACCAAAGUAACAACCACUUACCAAAUCGAAAACUGAACAUUUUUUAAUAAAAACCACCAAUUCUAUUUGCUAAAGAAACAAAAACAUAGUUUUUAGUCUCUUCUUCACAAAACUUCAUAGAUUAAGGUCAUGUAGGAAGAACGUUUUCCCACGAUAUGUUAUGGUCUUUUCUUCACCUCCAAGGCACCACAAAUGCCCUUGCAGGUCAAGACUCUCCUUCAUCCCAGCCGUUUCCCACACAAAUUCAAAUAGCCCCAAGGCUCUAUCCAACUGCUUGAUCCCUCUCCCCAACAUCUUCUCAUCCCCUGAGGUCAAUACCCUCCCCAUGCUUAAGCUAAAAACCCCACUCUUCUCCUCCUUGUGAAACCCUCCACAGAGAUCAACUUCAAUGUCACGCACACGUCCGUAGAGAAAAUACACGAGGAGAGUGAACAAACACGGAGAAGGACUCCCCAACAUCUUCGAAAGCUUUCUGUAGACAAGGUGCUCUUGAUGCCUAACCUCUCUGAACCCAAUAGUGUUGUCCAGAAACACGUCUUUGAUCUGUAGAAGCCCUUCUUUCAUCGACAAAAGCUUCUCCAUAUGGUAAAAGUCAUGCUCUUCGAGGUACCUUCUCAGAUCGUUCACCAUGUCGAGAACAUCUUCCCACUUCGCAGAAGCGUUUGCCUUCGCGUAUCUACCUGGCACGGGACGCAUCCAUGAAGUCGAGCUCUCGUCUUCGAACGAAACCGAUGAUUCAGACAAGAACUUGAGGCAAGACAAGAUCACUUGCUGUCCUAACUUCGUCCCUUGCCUUGUUGUCUCGCUAUGUUCAACUUCUUCUUGGAGACCAUUCAGUAUAUCUUCGAGCGCACCUCUCCAGAUACGGUACUGGGUCACCUGUGAACACACCGUGGACCUCACUAGCUUCCUCUGUUGGGCCGUGAUGUCAAGAAAGUUGCAAACUUUGGUUAAUGAGUUCACCAACAAUGGCUCUCUUUCGGUUUCGGUGUUGAAGCGUCCGUGUUCUUUGAGCUUCUGCUGAAGUGAAGGUGACCCAACGAAGAUUCUAGCUAGAGAUUUGAAGGCUUGCAUCUUCUGUUUGAUGUGAUCAUCGUAGAUGAUGACGCCGUUGAUGUCUUCGAGCUUCCCGUCUACUAAAUCAAAGUCUUUUAGUGAACGGGUGAGUUUGGUUAGAAGUGGGAGUUUCUUUGAGUACCAUUCAAAUGGUAAUGAUUCUUUGUAGGAAUCAACAUGGAUUGAACGGAGGAAGCGACUUGGGUUAGCCCUUACGGUACCCAACAUUUGAAACAGCUACGAGCUAAUAUUCAGACAUUAAGUGAAUAAAUCAGACAAGAAAUGUCAAACUCUCUCUCUCUCUGUCUCUCUCUUGGGAAUUUCUACGAACAGUUUGUGUGCAACUCUUGAAGACGGGAAAAAUCUAAGAGACUCAUCAACAUGUAGGAUUUUCUAACUAGACAUUAAAGUUGUAGUGCAAGAGCAUCUGUAGCGUGAAAGAGAAGUGAAGCGAUUUGGGAGAAGAGAAGAGAAGCUUCAGAUGAGUAGAUAUGGCAAUGUCUGUGAGAGAGGAGAUGAGAAGUUGGAAAGCGAAGAGAGCAGGUUUUGGGUUUGGAUCAUUAAUGGGCCGAAGAAAUAAUAAUUUAAAAAGGCCCAAGAGCUAGUAUUAUUACGGUAUAUUUUUCUUUUUGUUUUACGUACUAAAACGUUUCUAAUAUGUUUUUUUUAUUAACCAAGAAACUGUAAAGUUUCCUCAUAAAAAUUGUAGAAUUUUCAUAUAUAUGUUUGUUAGUAAUACUGUAUAUGUAAUUAAAUCAUUUUUUUUUGUCCAAUUGCACCACCAUGCUUUCCAAAAACCAAGGUAUUACAGUUUCUAAUUUUGUAAUUCUUAAACCAGGGAAAUGGUCUUUUAAUUAUCUUUACUUUUGCUCGUAACAUUCUUAACUUUCCCACGAAAAUCAGAAUUUUGAAAUAUCCAGUUAACUGUUAAGCCUCUCUGUUGUCUCCUAAGCAUUACUCUGUGAGUCUAUCUUCCCCCUCCAACGGAUUUUCAGUUUAUUAAAUGAAAUUUCUGAAUGUUGUGAAGAAUAUAUAGUAUUGAUAUCUUUUAUCAAAAAGGAGAUAUAGUAUUUGAUCAUGUUUAUGUCUUUUUAUAUGAAGAUUUACGAUUUCUGAGUCCGAUUCCUCUUGACUCGUGCGGAUGCCUCUAUUGUUUUUAGUAGAAUUAUACCAUACAUAUUAUUUUUUUUGAUAAUCAAUUAUACCAUACAUAUUACAUACGGCCUUUAAAAGGAAAAAGCGUUUUCAUCCAAAUUAUUGAGAAUGCAUGGUCCUUCCAUGACAACUGCAUACUUUGCAUAAAGAUAUAUAUAAAUCAUUAGGAAGAAUGUGACAAAAAACAAAAGAAAGAGAAGCGAAGAAAGAAGGGCUUAUAAAGAUGAAUAUGCUUUCUUUUAUGUGGGUUAAAGAAAAAUUUUAUGCUUUCUUUUAUGUUUUAAAAACUUUUUCUUAAAGUUGCUGCAAUUUUCUAAAAAUUUACCAAUCUAUUAAUGUUUUUCUUUAACUGUUUUGUAAUGAUAAAUUGUUUUUAUUAUUGUUUUCAAGGGUAUUUGUAAAAUGGAUAAAAGGUCUUCUUUGAUGUUGCUUUUUGCUACAAAAAUUGACUUUAACAGUAUGAAUUCUUGUUUACUUCUUCCGUUUCUCAAUAAAUAUCAUUUUGACACUAUUCACACAGACUAAUAAAGUAGCGGAAAUAUAUGUAAAUUGUUACUAUCUCUGUUCCCGAAAGUAAGAUUUUCUAAAGUGUUCACGCUUAUUAAGAAUUCAAUAAAUGUUUAUAAUUUAUUUUUUCUUUUACUUUAUUAUACACUUUUCAAUAACUUUUCACCAAUGAAAUUUAAUCAAUUCAAAUAUUUUCAUUUAAUGUUUCUUAAAAGCAUAAAAAGUACCUUAAACAUAUAGAAAAUCUAUAUUUGUGAAACAAGUAAAAAAUCUAAAACAUCUUACUUUGGAGAACGGAUGAAGUAUUAAUUAAAUCUUUCCGACCAAUAGUAUUUGAGAUAAGUAAAAUUAUUUAUAAAACCAAUGCAGUUUGCAAUUAAUUUUCAGCUGAAAUUAAGUAUAAUUUGCAUUGUAAUUGUAAAGUGAAUUUUUUUAUGUAACAAAAAAAAGAUAGAAUGACACUUAUUAUGAAACAGAGAGUAUAUAACAACUGAUUUACACUUUUACUUAGAAUGGUUAUCGAGAAAAACGAAACACUAAGUGCUUAGUUUAUGUAUGUAAGUUAGUUACUCCCCUAAUUUAUGUUUAGUUAACAUGGAUUAUGAAACUGAAACUAUGAUUAAAGCUAUGUGAAAACAUAUAUGCACACAUCUAGUCUGACUCUUCCAAAUCGAAAAAGAUGUUUCAUCUGUAUUCUUCGAAAAAACUUAUAAAGCAGUGACUUAAUAUGACAAUAAUAUGUAAUUUAGUGACUGAUUAAUUAGGAAUAUCGGAGUAAUUGUAAAAUUACGUACUUAGCUAAGUUGUAUAAUAUGACUAUGCUAGUUAUAAUAAAAUGUGUUUUUACUAGCUAGCAUAGUCAUAUUCAUACAACUUGACUAAGUUAUAUGCAAUACUGUAUUCGAUUAAUACAAAUAAAACAGAUUUACUAUUAAGGAAUAGACCCUUUUUCUUGUCUAUAAUGCAUACGUAUGUUAUAUGUCUUAUCUAAGUUCAUUUGGUGAUAUAAUAACAUCGAACUUGGUCGAGCCUGUCUUAAGAAUGCUGUUUACUACAAAUCAACGGGUUCAAAUAGCAACGCAUGACAUGAAUGCAAUGCAUCUUAAUCGAAUAUAAUUGAUAUGGGUUUGGAAUUCAAAGUGGGAAUGAUGCAUACCUAAGACGUACUUUCACUUCACUAAAACCAAAGAAGAAUAAAAUGAUGAAUUAACUUAAAAGUGGGGAAAAAACGAAAGAUUCUUUAGUAAAAGCCAAUUAGUGCAACCCUUUAACAAAAAAGCCAGGCAAUGGAUUGUAGUAGCAGACAUUAAAGACGGGUUAUCUUCUUUUUUGACCAUUUGAUGAUAAUCUUAACUACACAACUCUACCAGGUCAAAUGACGACUGAAGAAUCCUAUGCAAAAUGCAACGUGUCUGUAGACACGUACCCACGCUUAUACUCACUAGAAUGAAUGGUGAGUAACAAACAAAUCUUCAUGUAAGGGAACAGUAUAAAAAUGCUCUGCCGCGAAACAUCCAUUUGUGACAUAAAUUCCAAAACGAACUCGGUGAGCUUGUCAUUCAGGUAUUUAGUGACAACAUAAUUAUUAUUCUCUGGUAACUAUUCAUAUUCUUAAAGAAAGGAACUCAAGAUAUUUUUCUUUUCAAUGUGGUGGUCAACUCAUCAUACCUAUAAUAAUAUAUGCUUCAGUUUAUCCCCCGUUGAAAAUUUCAAAUCUCAUGGUUAUUCACUCUCUUUUUGAGCCAUUGGAUUUUGAUGUGGUCCAUGCAUGCAUCUACUCAUUUCAAACACUUUUUCUUACUCAUUUCAAACACUUUUUCUUACUCAUUUCAAAUACUUGCUAGAAUUGUUGUUUGGUUUGACGUAAGAAUCUCUAUCCCUAGCUAUACUAAAGUUUAUAUAAGAUUAAUUGCAUCAUAUGAUUUGCAUACAAUUUGGAUUUGCUGUCGCAAAUCUCAUCGUCUUGUACGGUCAACAACUCAAGUGCUUCAAACUUAGAUGAGAAUCGACAUUGCGGGAUAAGAGAGUAAUAGUUUAUCAAAAAUAAGGAUGCAUUGAUUAAAACAAACGUACACAGUAGGAGAUCGAUAUCAGAAGUCAGAACAAAGAACUUCCGAUUUUUCUUAUUAGCUUAUAGUCUAAACAUAACCAGACAAAGGUCCUACGAAAUACGAAACGAGUCAAAUCGAGAAAGAAAAACACAAAUAACGACAAACAGGGUCGUUAUCUUGCUUCCAUUCUUCAGUAGUUUUAUCUCUUCUAGUGCAGGCUGCAUAAAAAAGCCAAAGUAUAUGUUAAAUACUGUUUCAAUCAUGAGGUCUCACGUUUUAAAAUUUAAAAUGAAAACUUGUAUUCACGUAAUAAAUUUAGACCCAAUAUACAUGGGGCACGAAACAAUAACUUAUUUUGCAUAUGUUCUGGAUUGGGUCUGGUUAGUUUCUAUAUAUGCCACCUUUUGUCAACGUAUAUAUAGCACACUAGCAUAUAAACCAUGAGAGAUUGUUGUGGCUUGAGAGUAAACUUUUGGAAUUAUUAGAAAUGAAAUUUAUUGAAGAAAUAACAAAUAACCAAAUUUACUUGAUCAAGAUGAUGAAGAAAGUUAGGUCUAGUAGGGUGGAUUGGUGGCAGGUUCCUUUGGGGCGUUGCACCUGAAACACUCUGACCUGCUUGCGAAGUUAUGUUCAUUGCAGCCUGACCUAUACAUACAAAACCAAUCAGCUUCUACAAUCUUCUUAUACAUAUACAAACAUGAAUGAAUAUAAAUACUAAUAUUCUAAAAUUGUCCUCUUAGCUUACGAAGCCUGCGCGCGCAUGAAUUUAUGUAUAUAUAUUAUUACAUGGUGGAGACGCCCAUGUACAUUUUCAUGAACCAUGCACAUGAAACAAACAAAUACAAAAAAAAAAAAAAACUUCUGCUGAAGUGAAGGUGACCCAACGAAGAUUCUAGCUAGAGAUUUGAAGGCUUGCAUCUUCUGUUUGAUGUGAUCAUCGUAGAUGAUGACGCCGUUGAUGUCUUCGAGCUUCCCGUCUACUAAAUCAAAGUCUUUUAGUGAACGGGUGAGUUUGGUUAGAAGUGGGAGUUUCUUUGAGUACCAUUCAAAUGGUAAUGAUUCUUUGUAGGAAUCAACAUGGAUUGAACGGAGGAAGCGACUUGGGUUAGCCCUUACGGUACCCAACAUUUGAAACAGCUACGAGCUAAUAUUCAGACAUUAAGUGAAUAAAUCAGACAAGAAAUGUCAAACUCUCUCUCUCUCUGUCUCUCUCUUGGGAAUUUCUACGAACAGUUUGUGUGCAACUCUUGAAGACGGGAAAAAUCUAAGAGACUCAUCAACAUGUAGGAUUUUCUAACUAGACAUUAAAGUUGUAGUGCAAGAGCAUCUGUAGCGUGAAAGAGAAGUGAAGCGAUUUGGGAGAAGAGAAGAGAAGCUUCAGAUGAGUAGAUAUGGCAAUGUCUGUGAGAGAGGAGAUGAGAAGUUGGAAAGCGAAGAGAGCAGGUUUUGGGUUUGGAUCAUUAAUGGGCCGAAGAAAUAAUAAUUUAAAAAGGCCCAAGAGCUAGUAUUAUUACGGUAUAUUUUUCUUUUUGUUUUACGUACUAAAACGUUUCUAAUAUGUUUUUUUUAUUAACCAAGAAACUGUAAAGUUUCCUCAUAAAAAUUGUAGAAUUUUCAUAUAUAUGUUUGUUAGUAAUACUGUAUAUGUAAUUAAAUCAUUUUUUUUUGUCCAAUUGCACCACCAUGCUUUCCAAAAACCAAGGUAUUACAGUUUCUAAUUUUGUAAUUCUUAAACCAGGGAAAUGGUCUUUUAAUUAUCUUUACUUUUGCUCGUAACAUUCUUAACUUUCCCACGAAAAUCAGAAUUUUGAAAUAUCCAGUUAACUGUUAAGCCUCUCUGUUGUCUCCUAAGCAUUACUCUGUGAGUCUAUCUUCCCCCUCCAACGGAUUUUCAGUUUAUUAAAUGAAAUUUCUGAAUGUUGUGAAGAAUAUAUAGUAUUGAUAUCUUUUAUCAAAAAGGAGAUAUAGUAUUUGAUCAUGUUUAUGUCUUUUUAUAUGAAGAUUUACGAUUUCUGAGUCCGAUUCCUCUUGACUCGUGCGGAUGCCUCUAUUGUUUUUAGUAGAAUUAUACCAUACAUAUUAUUUUUUUUGAUAAUCAAUUAUACCAUACAUAUUACAUACGGCCUUUAAAAGGAAAAAGCGUUUUCAUCCAAAUUAUUGAGAAUGCAUGGUCCUUCCAUGACAACUGCAUACUUUGCAUAAAGAUAUAUAUAAAUCAUUAGGAAGAAUGUGACAAAAAACAAAAGAAAGAGAAGCGAAGAAAGAAGGGCUUAUAAAGAUGAAUAUGCUUUCUUUUAUGUGGGUUAAAGAAAAAUUUUAUGCUUUCUUUUAUGUUUUAAAAACUUUUUCUUAAAGUUGCUGCAAUUUUCUAAAAAUUUACCAAUCUAUUAAUGUUUUUCUUUAACUGUUUUGUAAUGAUAAAUUGUUUUUAUUAUUGUUUUCAAGGGUAUUUGUAAAAUGGAUAAAAGGUCUUCUUUGAUGUUGCUUUUUGCUACAAAAAUUGACUUUAACAGUAUGAAUUCUUGUUUACUUCUUCCGUUUCUCAAUAAAUAUCAUUUUGACACUAUUCACACAGACUAAUAAAGUAGCGGAAAUAUAUGUAAAUUGUUACUAUCUCUGUUCCCGAAAGUAAGAUUUUCUAAAGUGUUCACGCUUAUUAAGAAUUCAAUAAAUGUUUAUAAUUUAUUUUUUCUUUUACUUUAUUAUACACUUUUCAAUAACUUUUCACCAAUGAAAUUUAAUCAAUUCAAAUAUUUUCAUUUAAUGUUUCUUAAAAGCAUAAAAAGUACCUUAAACAUAUAGAAAAUCUAUAUUUGUGAAACAAGUAAAAAAUCUAAAACAUCUUACUUUGGAGAACGGAUGAAGUAUUAAUUAAAUCUUUCCGACCAAUAGUAUUUGAGAUAAGUAAAAUUAUUUAUAAAACCAAUGCAGUUUGCAAUUAAUUUUCAGCUGAAAUUAAGUAUAAUUUGCAUUGUAAUUGUAAAGUGAAUUUUUUUAUGUAACAAAAAAAAGAUAGAAUGACACUUAUUAUGAAACAGAGAGUAUAUAACAACUGAUUUACACUUUUACUUAGAAUGGUUAUCGAGAAAAACGAAACACUAAGUGCUUAGUUUAUGUAUGUAAGUUAGUUACUCCCCUAAUUUAUGUUUAGUUAACAUGGAUUAUGAAACUGAAACUAUGAUUAAAGCUAUGUGAAAACAUAUAUGCACACAUCUAGUCUGACUCUUCCAAAUCGAAAAAGAUGUUUCAUCUGUAUUCUUCGAAAAAACUUAUAAAGCAGUGACUUAAUAUGACAAUAAUAUGUAAUUUAGUGACUGAUUAAUUAGGAAUAUCGGAGUAAUUGUAAAAUUACGUACUUAGCUAAGUUGUAUAAUAUGACUAUGCUAGUUAUAAUAAAAUGUGUUUUUACUAGCUAGCAUAGUCAUAUUCAUACAACUUGACUAAGUUAUAUGCAAUACUGUAUUCGAUUAAUACAAAUAAAACAGAUUUACUAUUAAGGAAUAGACCCUUUUUCUUGUCUAUAAUGCAUACGUAUGUUAUAUGUCUUAUCUAAGUUCAUUUGGUGAUAUAAUAACAUCGAACUUGGUCGAGCCUGUCUUAAGAAUGCUGUUUACUACAAAUCAACGGGUUCAAAUAGCAACGCAUGACAUGAAUGCAAUGCAUCUUAAUCGAAUAUAAUUGAUAUGGGUUUGGAAUUCAAAGUGGGAAUGAUGCAUACCUAAGACGUACUUUCACUUCACUAAAACCAAAGAAGAAUAAAAUGAUGAAUUAACUUAAAAGUGGGGAAAAAACGAAAGAUUCUUUAGUAAAAGCCAAUUAGUGCAACCCUUUAACAAAAAAGCCAGGCAAUGGAUUGUAGUAGCAGACAUUAAAGACGGGUUAUCUUCUUUUUUGACCAUUUGAUGAUAAUCUUAACUACACAACUCUACCAGGUCAAAUGACUGAAGAAUCCUAUGCAAAAUGCAACGUGUCUGUAGACACGUACCCACGCUUAUACUCACUAGAAUGAAUGGUGAGUAACAAACAAAUCUUCAUGUAAGGGAACAGUAUAAAAAUGCUCUGCCGCGAAACAUCCAUUUGUGACAUAAAUUCCAAAACGAACUCGGUGAGCUUGUCAUUCAGGUAUUUAGUGACAACAUAAUUAUUAUUCUCUGGUAACUAUUCAUAUUCUUAAAGAAAGGAACUCAAGAUAUUUUUCUUUUCAAUGUGGUGGUCAACUCAUCAUACCUAUAAUAAUAUAUGCUUCAGUUUAUCCCCCGUUGAAAAUUUCAAAUCUCAUGGUUAUUCACUCUCUUUUUGAGCCAUUGGAUUUUGAUGUGGUCCAUGCAUGCAUCUACUCAUUUCAAACACUUUUUCUUACUCAUUUCAAACACUUUUUCUUACUCAUUUCAAAUACUUGCUAGAAUUGUUGUUUGGUUUGACGUAAGAAUCUCUAUCCCUAGCUAUACUAAAGUUUAUAUAAGAUUAAUUGCAUCAUAUGAUUUGCAUACAAUUUGGAUUUGCUGUCGCAAAUCUCAUCGUCUUGUACGGUCAACAACUCAAGUGCUUCAAACUUAGAUGAGAAUCGACAUUGCGGGAUAAGAGAGUAAUAGUUUAUCAAAAAUAAGGAUGCAUUGAUUAAAACAAACGUACACAGUAGGAGAUCGAUAUCAGAAGUCAGAACAAAGAACUUCCGAUUUUUCUUAUUAGCUUAUAGUCUAAACAUAACCAGACAAAGGUCCUACGAAAUACGAAACGAGUCAAAUCGAGAAAGAAAAACACAAAUAACGACAAACAGGGUCGUUAUCUUGCUUCCAUUCUUCAGUAGUUUUAUCUCUUCUAGUGCAGGCUGCAUAAAAAAGCCAAAGUAUAUGUUAAAUACUGUUUCAAUCAUGAGGUCUCACGUUUUAAAAUUUAAAAUGAAAACUUGUAUUCACGUAAUAAAUUUAGACCCAAUAUACAUGGGGCACGAAACAAUAACUUAUUUUGCAUAUGUUCUGGAUUGGGUCUGGUUAGUUUCUAUAUAUGCCACCUUUUGUCAACGUAUAUAUAGCACACUAGCAUAUAAACCAUGAGAGAUUGUUGUGGCUUGAGAGUAAACUUUUGGAAUUAUUAGAAAUGAAAUUUAUUGAAGAAAUAACAAAUAACCAAAUUUACUUGAUCAAGAUGAUGAAGAAAGUUAGGUCUAGUAGGGUGGAUUGGUGGCAGGUUCCUUUGGGGCGUUGCACCUGAAACACUCUGACCUGCUUGCGAAGUUAUGUUCAUUGCAGCCUGACCUAUACAUACAAAACCAAUCAGCUUCUACAAUCUUCUUAUACAUAUACAAACAUGAAUGAAUAUAAAUACUAAUAUUCUAAAAUUGUCCUCUUAGCUUACGAAGCCUGCGCGCGCAUGAAUUUAUGUAUAUAUAUUAUUACAUGGUGGAGACGCCCAUGUACAUUUUCAUGAACCAUGCACAUGAAACAAACAAAUACAAAAAAAAAAAAAAACAAACAAUACCUGGGGCAAAUCCAAUCUCCAGAUUUCCAAGAAGAGCGGCCCAUGCCUCCGCCACCACCACUACUGCUACCAAAUCCAAAAAGGCCACGUCUUGGACCAUCACUCAAGUCCAUAAACCCGGUGGCUAGAGCGGCAGCCGAGCGUGAAGACUCAUCUUUUGCGGCACCACACUUGAAACAGCUGGACCUGCUUGCAAAAUUGUGAGUCCCGCAAUUUCCAAGGUUGCAGUACCAAUCACCGGGUCUCACGUCAGGCCCGGUAUUGAAAGCAAAAGCGUUGCUGAUCGGGCGGCUUGCGAAACUGCUGACUAAGUCGGUAAUGCUUCUCGGUCUGGGCUCUCUGCAUCGUUGGCAUGACUCCCUUCUUUGGAAGUUGAGGUGGCUACACGAUAGGCAGUUCCAGUCUCCUGGCCUAUUCAUCUUCUUCUAAUCCCCCAUAGAUAAACAAAUGACACAAUAUUAAAGGUAUAUAUAUUCACAAGUGUAGCCUAAUAUUUGAUGAUUACCUGGGGAUGUUAGCUGAAAACAGUAAGGAGAGUAGAAGUGAUAUUUUGGUGUUAGAGCGUAUAAGUGUGAUAUGUCCCCAUAUAUAUAUACAUCGGCAAAGCAAAAGGUUCUUCUUUAUCAACCGGGAACAUAUUUUGAAGUGAAAAUAGGGUUUCAAAUGGUUUUAACUUUCUUAUUUUUGUUUCAGCUUUAAUGCAUUUCCUUUAGAGCAUCUCCAAAAUGGAACUCUAUUUUGAAGUUUCCAAAACUUUAUAUUUGAAGUUUCAAUGUGUUCUUCUCCAAAAGUAAAACUUCAAACCUAACUUCAAAAUUAUUUAUAUUUUACACUAUGAUCCUUAUGUUUGUCAUAGUUGAUGUAAAUUCAUAAAACUUCUAUAAAUAACUAAUACAUAUAUAUAAAUAUUACAAAAAUAUUAAUUAAAAAAAAAUCUUACACUAAAAUAUAAAAUUAUAAAUAAAAGUACAUAAUUAAAUAUUAAACUGCAAGCAAAUAUUACAUUAUUGCAUAAAAUUAUUUCCAUAAUGCUCCCAUAUAUGAUCAACUAUUUCGAAGUAAGAAAUGAUUCUCUUUAUUUUUUAUUUGUAGAUUACGAGCCAAAAAUUGUUGAAACCGGAUAUCCUCAUAAUAUGUCUGCUGAUAGUUUGAUAUCAUCAAACGAAAAAAAUCCUUGAUCUUUUAAACGAAAGUACAACAAGCAGGGAAAAAGGUCAUGAGAUGAUUGAAUUACGACUGCAAAAUGAAGCAAAAAAGUUAGCUUUUAAAGAAAUAAAAGAGGAAAAUAAAAUAUUGCUAAAAAACUUAGCUUCUAUCGAUGACGUUAAUAUUCGUGAAUACAUUCGAUCUGAACAAGAAAGAAUCAUACGAAAAAUGCGUCAAGAGCAACAACAACAAUCAUCUUCGGUUACACAAAAUUUGUUGAACAAUAUUUUGGAGAUUUUGGAGGUUCCGGAGCAAAUUUACCAGACUAUUAGUGUUGUUAUAAUAUUUAAAUUUGAGUAAUAAUUAUGUCUUCAUGUGUCUUUUUAAUAAGUUUUUAUUAUGGUUUUUUGUAAUAUUCUUGUUGUUUAAUUCUAGUUUUAAAAUAUUAUAAAUCUUGUUUUAAUUUUUUUUAUUUAAUUUCAUGUGUAAAACUUAAGUUUAUAUAACAAAUUUGAAAUAUUUAUGAGAUAUAAAAGUUUUAAGGAUUAAAACAAUAAACAAAAAAAAUAUUUAAGAAUUAUAAAUAUGAUGUAUAAUUGUAAGGACCAAAAUGCAAAUAAAAAGAUGAAACUUCAAAUUUGAAGUUUUGAAAAGUGAAACUCUAUAUUUGGAGUUUCACUCUUCAAAACUUCAAAUUUGAAGUUUUGAAGUUCCUUUUUGGAGAGCAAAAAACUCUAUAUUUGGAGUUAUAGAGUUUCUUUUGGAGAUGCUCUUAGAGUUGGGUUUCUCCGUAAACUACGUUUUCCCAAAAGAAACAAAAGAUUAUCCAUACAUAUCGAGGACUUUAAAAUAUCAAUUUAAGACCCCACUAGUUUAAAGCUUCCAAUAUCAGCCGUUUUAUUAUGCUUGUGCUUCACAAAAGUUAUUACAUAUAUAGUGAUAAAAUCAAUAUUCACAUAGUUGUCAGAUGUGUAUUAUCAUAUACAUCAAUAUUAUACUCAUUUUUAGACACCCAAUUGUUUUUAAAUUGAUGACUAUAGUCUAUAUAUGUAGUUUGCAUCAUAUACUGCGUGUAUGAGUUGUAAACAAUCGAAAACAUGUUUGAAACUUAUGUUGAUAAUCCAAAUUGCGUAACUUUCUUAAAAUCCGCCGAUUCAACUAGGUUCAUGAUCAUGGGUGGAUAAUAAGGUCUCGUGCGUGUGUCAGUAGUAAAAAGGAUGCCUCAAGAAGAAAAGAAAAAUCUAAAGCAAAAGUUGCAUGGCAACAGUUUCAAGAACGUAUUGCUUCCAUAUAUAAACCGCGGAAAUUAAACAUUAAAAGAAUAUUUACUUCUAGUAUUUUCAGUAAGUGUUAUCUCCAUUUUUUUUCUAGCAGUAUCGAGUUACUCGUGUAUCCCAUCAGAACGUGUUCGCGAUUCUCAGCCAAAACCCAAGAAAACAACAUCAAAUAUAUAUAUAUANNNNNNNNNNNNNNNNNNNNNNNNNNNNNNNNNNNNNNNNNNNNNNNNNNNNNNNNNNNNNNNNNNNNNNNNNNNNNNNNNNNNNNNNNNNNNNNNNNNNUUUUUUUUUUUUUUUUUGAUAUUUCAUAUAUAAAAAACAUAUUUUUGAGACCACAAUGUUUACAGUACUUUGAUUACCUCCACAAAAUAUUCUAAAUAAAUCAUCCCCUGUAUAUUAAUCAUGGAGCAUUAUAACAUGUUUUCGUAGCCAAGUGUCAUCACGAGAAUGAUUCUUAGAAUUGUUAGAAAAAUAAGUUGGUCCAUAUAAACAUAUAUUAUGUUUUUCAUUAAACUAACUAUUAAAUUAAUUAAUAGUGUACAAAAUAAUAUAUUUUUUUUCUUAAAUAAAAGCUACGGAUUUACCUAAUAUGGUAAACAUAUAUAUGACAAUUAAUGAUUAUGAAUAAUACAUAUUUGAUUAAAAAAAAGUCUAACAUCUCUCACUUUUGUUUAAUUUUAUACUAUUAAAAGAAAUUAAACAAUCACAUUAAGCAUAUAAUAAAAAAAAUUAGAUUUUUUCUUAUACGUUAUAUUUUGAAUUUUUAAAAACGAGUAUAAAUUACUAAAUGGUAAAAGUCUCACAUUGAAAAUUUUGUGAUUAAUGGUUUUAUUUUAUUUUUUCUUCAAGCAAGAUACAAAUGAUCAUAUAUCUUAGGUGUGGGCGUUCAGAAACAUGUUCGAGUUUGUAUCGGAUAUUUCAGUAUAAAGGUAUAGAACCCGUUCGAGUAUUUCUACACUUCGAGUCGGGUUCGGGUAUUUUAUGUUCGGGUUCAGAUAUUUUGGGUCGGGUUUGGAUAUUUAAAUUUUGAAGAAAAAAUAAAUAAAUUAUUCAUUUUUUAAGUUUAUGUAUUUAAAAUAUAUUUAACUUAACCAGUUUUCUAAUUUUUAAAAGGUUAAACUAUUAAAAGGUUUGGAGACAAAACUUUAAAAAUAGAAAGACACUAAUUUAGUUGUUGUUUUUAGAUUUUAGAUUCAAUUUUUGUUAAUGCAAGAAACAAGAGUUUGAUAUGUAUUUUAAGUGAAUAGCAAAUGAUUUUGUCCAUAAUUAUAUGUAUAUUAUCUAAUUUUGAGCAAUAAACAUCAUUAAUAUAAAUAUUUUGAGUAAAAUGAGAGAAAUAAACUAUAAAUAUAAGGUUAAGUAUACUUAUGUUUGGUUAUCUUCGGAUAUCCAUUCGGGUUUGGAUAUUACUCGUUCAGAUUCAGAUAUUACCCGAACGGGUGAAAUAAGUAAUUUUUUUUGUUGUUCUAGAAUUAGAUGAUUUUUAGACUGAGCUGAUGAAUAUAUACUAGACAUAUGUUUAUAUUUCAAGUCUGCACGCAUAUUCUAUAACAGCUUGAUAUAUUAGAUUUGAACAAAGUUUGCCGGUGAUUUUGUUUUCAAAAUUUUGAUUCUUAGAUAUGAAUCUGGAAUAAAACUAAUUUUUACAUAUGUCCAUUUUUUAAAUUGACACAUAUGUAAUUCACCGAAUUCAUAGAAUAAGUUGAAAAAAAAAACUUAACUCAUAUCAAUGAAAUAAAGAACAGAACGAAAUCACAAUUUUAUAGAGGUAGAAAAUGAAAUCAGUUAUAGAUAGUCAAUAGUAAACAAAUUGGGAGAAGAAAACCUAAUCCUCUUUCGUCAUCAUACAAUCAAUGUUGCCUAUUUGGUUUCGGUGAUUUGUGUCAGCCGCAAAACUUAAUUUUCUUUUGUGCAUAUGAAGUCUUAAAAAUAAUUAAAAUGAGAUGUAAUACGUUCACUCUUCAACAACGAUGAUAUAUUAAAGAGACCAACAUUACACACCCUCACUCCUAGAUUCGCCUUUAUAUAUUUAUUUUGAAAAUUUUCAAUUUGUUUCUUUUACUAGUAAGAAACCAAACGAUGUAUCGCAGCGUGUGUGUUUCAUCAAGCCUCUUUUCUGUUGAGUAAUUUCCAAAUUUGAUGAUAACAAAACGUUACAAAAGUAUUUGCAUGGUUUGGGCUAUUUCUAGAUACAAAAUUACUUGCAGAAGGUCACACACUGUUACGUUAGAACUCUGAAACAUAGAUCUCGAAACUAAAUUUCAAGUUUUAGUUUGAACAAUCAAAUUGGUGUUUAGUUUGAACAAUCAAAUUGGUAGUAUUGGGUUUGGUGCAUGAUUUAUGUCGACCCUUUUGGAUAAGGCCCAUAUUGUUCAAUGUGACGGAUACACCAAGUUAUUAACACUGAAUACAUCUGUGUACACACUCAUUCUCCUACCAUGGAUUAAAAAACAUAAAGUCGAAAAUAGUAAUGAAAACGAAUGUAUUGGUAAGCCAUAAAUGAGUUGGUUGUUCGUUUUAGUUUUCUCUUAAGAAAAGUCCACACGAAAGUUACGAUUGCCAUAUCUUCACUGUCCCUUUUGGUUUGAUUUUUUGAAACUUUUCUCGAUCGAAGUGAAAAAUUUCAUGGCCACAUGACACCUAAAUCCCGUCAAAACAUGCUGGAGACCGUCCUUCAUUAAUGGUAAGUUGAUUUGGAUAGACAUAAUUGAUUUUUAAAUAGGGAAGUUACCAUAACUCUAAGAGAUUGAUCAAAAAGAACAUACUCUCAUGUACAGAGAUGUUUGGUCCAUCGCAUUACGGAUAUGUUCUUUGGAAUCGACUGAUGGAUAGAAAAUGGACAUGCACCAAGCUGGGAGAACACAUCAAAAAGUCUCAAGUAAAACAGAGGAAAAUUAUAAACACUCUCCAACACAUAAGGAGUAUGUUAACGAAUAAAGAUAGGGCUAUGCAAACUCUUUGUGCAAUAUUCAAAACCACGUGCCGACUUAUUAUUGAUUGAUGCUUUGUACAUGAAAUUGAUCUCCAACAUUCUCUAUUCUCUUAUAUUAUAAGUUAUACACUCUCGUAUAUAUUAAUCUUGGAGCAUUACAACAUGUUUUCGUAGCCACGUAUCAUUACAAGAAUUAUUCUUAGAAUUGUUAGAAAAACAAGUUGGUCCAUAUAAACAUAUACUAUGUUUUUUAUUAAGCUAACUAUCAAAUUAAUUAGUAGUAUAAUAAAAGCUACGGAAUUACCUAAUAUGAUUAACAUAUGUAUGACAAUUAAUGAUUAUGAAUAAUACAUAUUUGAUAACAAUUUUUCUAACCUCUCUCUCUUUUAUUUAAUUUUAUACUAUUAAAAGAAAUUAAACAAUCACAUUAAGCAUAUAAGAAGAAUUUACAUUUUUCUUAUAUGUUAUAUUUUGAAUUUUUAAAAACGACUAUAAAUUACUAAAAAUGGUAAAAGUCUCACAUUGAAAAUUCUGUAAUCAAUGGGUUUAACUUUUUUUUUGUUCAAGCAAGAUACAAAUGAUCAUAUAUCGUAGGGGUGGGUGUUCGGAUAUACGUUCGGGUUCGUAUCGGAUAUUUCAGUAUAAAGGUAUAGAACACGUUCGAGUAUUUCUACACUUCGAGUCGGGUUCAAGUAUUUUAUGUUCGGAUUCGGAUAUUUUGGAUCGGGUUUGGAUAUUUAAAUUUUGAAGAAAACAUAAAUAAAUUAUUCAUUUUUUAAUUUUUUGUAUUUAAAAUAUAUUUACCUUAGCCGGAUUUCUAAUUUUUAAAAGGUUAAACUAUUAAAAGGUUUGGAGAUAAAACUUUAAAAAUAGAAAGACACUAAUUUAGUUGUUGUUUUGAAAUUUUAGAUGCAACUUUUCUUAAUGCAAGAAACAAGAGCUUGAUAUGUAUAUUAAGUGAGUAGCAAAUGAUUUUGUCCAUAAUUAUAUGUAUAUUAUCUAAUUUUGAGCAAUAAGCAUCAUUAAUAUAAAUAUUUUGAGUAAAAUGAGAGAAGUAAACUAGAAAUAUAGGGUUAGUAUACUUAUGUUUUGUUAUCUUCGGAUACAGUGGUGGAGCCAGCCUAGUUUUUUGAGGAGGGUCAAACUCUUAAUUUGUAUAUAUUACAUGGGUCAACAUACCCACAAUUUGUAAAAUUUUCCUUAUUUUUAGUACAAAUUCAUGUAAUUUUUUUUUAUGUUUUAAAAUCAUGUGGGUCAUUUGACCACCCUCCUAACCAGCUACCUCCGCCACUGUUCGGAUAUCCAUUCGGGUUCGGAUUCAGAUAUUACCCGAACGGGUGAAAUAAGUAAUUUGUUUUGUUGUUCUAGAAUUAGAUAAUUUUUAGACCGGGCUGGUGAACAUAUACUAGACAGACGUUUAUAUUUCGAGUCUGCACAUAUAUUAUAUAACAGCUUGAUAUAUUAGAUUUGAAUACAGUUUCCGGUGAUUUUAUUUUUAAAAAUUUAAUUUUUAGAUAUGUAUCGGGAAUGAAACUAAUUUUUACAUAUGUCCAUUUUUUAAAUUGACACUUAUGUAAUUCACCGAGUUCAUAGAAUAAGUUUUUUUUUUGUCAUCAGAAUAAGUUAAAAAAAAAAACUUAACUCAUAUCAAUGAAUGAUAUGAAACAAAGAUCAGAACGAAAACACAAUUUUAUAAAAGUGAAAAAUUAAAUCACUUAUGAAAAGUCAAUAGUAAACAAAUUGGGAGAAGAAAACCUAAUCUUCUUUUAUCAUUAUACAAUCGAUGUUGCCUAUUUAGUUUUGGUGAUUUGUGUCAGCCGUAAAACUUAAUUUCUUUUAGUGCGUAUGAAAUCUUAAAAAUAAUUAAAAUGAGAUGUAAUAUGUUUCCUCUUCAACAACGAUGAUAAUUUCCUUUAGUGCGUGUAAAGAACUAUUAAAACAAUUUCCUUUAGUGCGUAUAAAGAACUAUUUUUCGCUCACUUAUUUAGUUUAAUAGAAGGAUAUCAAAUGUUUUUAAUACAAUAUCAUAAUUAUACGAAACAUAUGGUCAUUGUUUUAAUUAUAUGGAGCCUGUCGGUCCAUUAAUAUAACAAAACUGUGAGAGGAUGUAUAACUAUAAACUUUCAUUAAAUGGUCGUUUUGUUAAUUGAUUGAUGUCAACUGUAUAUAUGUGCGUUUCCUUACCCUAAAUUCGAAGUGAUAACUGCAUAUUUUUUUGAUACAGGAGAUGAUUUUCUUUCGUACGUAACUUUAAGUAUAAUGUAACUACACCGAACAGAAAAACAGGUGAAAUUAAACACACAUGUCCACACAUGGACAGAAGGAGCAUUUAAAGUAAAGGAAAGUGGUGGUUAGAGAGUAUGUGAUAUAAUUAAUCGGCCCAAAUAGAUUGGUAAGUGUUAGCCGCCAUGCUAAUAACUUCAACCUCAGAUCUUUCUACUAAAACCAUUUUAUUAUAAAUUCUACGUACACUCCCACUUCAUCUCCUCAAAUUCAUCAAAACACACUACAAGAAAAUGUUGACUCGUCUCCCUUUGAUAUGUUUUCUUGUUUCAGUCACGGCCAUUGCGGCUGACUUAACACCGGAGCGUUAUUGGAACACUGCCUUACCAAACACUCCCAUGCCAAACUCUCUCCGUCAUCUUUUCACGCCAGGUUACUGUAAAAUCUUUUUACUUUAUAUAUGUUUUUUCUAUGUGUCCCAAGCUGAUUGGUUACACAAUCUCUGAUAGUUUGUGAUUAUGUAUGUUAAGAACAUCUCCAAACCAUCUUUAUAUAUGUUUGUAUGAACAUUUAUAAACAAAUUUGUUUCAACAUACACUAUAUGUUCUCUUUAAAUGUAAACAUUUUUUUUUCUCUGUAUGUCAAAAUAAAAUUUAUUUAUUUUUCAGUAUAAAUAAAUAUUAAUUUAGAAAAUACACUAAAGUAAAUAUUUACAAUUCAAAAAAUAUUUUUAUUUUAUUUUAGAGGAAAAUAUAACAAAAUAUAUAUUGUAGAUUUCACUGAUGAGAAGAGCACCGACGUCCAAGUAGGGAAAGGAGGCGUGAACGUUAACGCCGGAAAAGGCAAACCCGGCGGAGGAACCGCCGUUAACGUUGGAAAAGGAGGUGUGUACGUGGACACAGGCAAGGGCAAGGGAACACACGUGAGCGUUAGCGGCGGAAAAGGUCCUGGAGGAGGCGUUGGAGUCCACACCGGACAGCCUGGAAAGAGAACCGACGUAGGAGUUGGUAAAGGCGGAGUUAUAGUGCACACGCGACACAAGGGCAGGCCGGUCUACGUCGGUGUAACGCCAGGACCAAACCCUUUUGUGUAUAACUAUGCAGCGAGCGAGACUCAGCUCCACGACGAUCCCAAAGCGGCUCUCUUCUUCUUGGAGAAGGAUAUGGUUCCUGGAAAAGCUAUGAACCUCAGGUUUAAUGCGGAGGAUGGUUACGAUGGUAAAACGGCGUUCUUGCCACGUGGGGAGGCGGAAACGGUGCCGUUUCAGUCGGAGAAGUUUUCGGAGAUUUUGAAUACUUUCUCGGUGAAACCAGGUUCGGAGGAAGCUGAGAUGAUGAAGAAGACUAUUGAGGAGUGUGAAGCGAAAAGAGUUGGGGGAGAGGAGAAGUAUUGUGCGACUUCUUUGGAGUCUAUGGUCGAUUUUAGCGUUUCUAAACUUGGCAAAUAUCACGUCCGUGCUGUUUCCACUGAGGUAACAAACACUUCUCUUCUUUUUAUGGUUUAUUAUUACGUUUAGGUUUGACAUAAAUCAAAUAAAGUCAAAACUGAAUGAAAUUAAUAUUUGUAAUUAGGUUUGGUUACGUUUGAUUAGGUUAAAUUUGAUGAGGUUUGGGUUGUAUACUUGUGUCUACUUUAUCUCCGGUUAGGAUUCGGUUUUAGCUAGUAAAUGAUUCAUUCAACAUCGUACAUCUUGUUUGCUUAAAAUACUAUAUUAUAGAAGAGAAAUAAAAGUUAAAAACUACUUUUUAUUUUAUAUUUGGGUUUGAGUUUAGUGAUUAGAAUUUAGGGUUUAAUAUAAAGUAGAAGGCAAGAUUUUGAUAAAAUUUUAAAGUUUGGAGUAACUUAAUCAUUUCACUCUUUAAUUAAUGUUAUUUUUGAGAUUUUUUUUGUUUGUGUGCUAUUUUUUCAUAAUUGUUUUUUUGUGUUAUUUAAAUCAUGUGCUCUGUAUAUAAGUAAGUGAACAUAAAAAAAAAGAAAUUUAAGUCUGGUAUGAUUUGGUUUUACACUUUUACUUGGUUCAGUUUAGUUUCAUUUGAUUUAUAUGUCCACGCCUUGCUAAUACUCGAGUUAAUUGAUGUAACCUUGGUUACUACAGGUGGUUGAGAAGAAUGCACCGAUGCAAAAGUACAAAAUCGCAGCACCCGGAAUAAAGAAGUUGUCGGACGACAAGUCAGUGGUGUGUCACAAACAGAAGUACCCAUUCGCGGUGUUCUACUGCCACAAGGCGAUGAUGACGAGCGUGUAUGCGGUUCCACUCGAAGGAGAGAACGGUCUGCGGGCUAAAGCGGUUGCGGUUUGCCACAAGAACACCUCGGCUUGGAACCCAAACCACUUGGCCUUCAAAGUGCUUAAGGUGAAGCCUGGGACUGUUCCGGUCUGCCAUUUCCUCCCUGAGACCCAUGUUGUUUGGUUCAGCUAUUAGAUAGAUAUGCUUUCAUAUAUUGUGGCUUAUGUAAUAAAUAAUAAUGCCGUCCCUUCCAUAUAGUCAAAGAAUUAAGACAUAAGUUUUCACUUUGCAUGGUUUGUCUUCUGUGGCCUGAUUCAUUCUUCUUUUGCAAGAAUAUACUGUAUGAUAAUAAAACUAGUCUUCAAAUAUUAAAAGAGCUCGUCCGUAGAAAACGGUAAUUUUCGUAAUGGGCCCAACGUUGCCAGAGUAACAUGAAAAGACCCCAAAGAAAAGAGAAAAUGUCAGAAGUGGGAUGUGAACCCACGCCCUCUUACGAGGACCAGAACUUGAGUCUGGCGCCUUAGACCACUCGGCCACCCUGACUGUUGUAAUUUAUUUGAAAUUACGGAUAAAUCUAAUCAAACAUAAGUAUAAAAUAAUAUAUUGAAAGAGCCUAAAACAUCUAGAAUGAAUGAACACAACUGAAUCAAACAUAUACAAAGAAACUUAACUUACCAUUCUGCUCCCAAGUCCAAAACCCUCUUAACUAAAUCAAAAGCUUGGUCUAUCAACCAACAUCCAAAAUAGACGAAACGAUGUUGUCUCCUAUAAAUGCUUUUACCACAUCUCAAAACAUUGGUUUUUAGCAGAGAGCUGAGUUCCAAGUCACUCUUUGUCUCAUCCUGUUUUUUGGCACUAGACUUCCACAGUACAUGGUUGGUUUCUUAUACUGUAGUAUCAAUUCAUUUAACGUAUGGUCAAAUAUGAAAAUAUCUCCAUCUCUGGUCCACUUUAUCUCAAAACGUAGUUUGAAUCACAUACCACAAGUCGAGUAAAAUCCUUGUACAUUUGCUAUUGUUUUUUUUAAUGAAAUUUUCACUUGACCAUAUGGUGCGUGUAUGAUGAAGUCAUCCUAAUGAAUAUCACCCACUUGUAGUAGCAAUGUAAAGCUAAAUACAAUACCAAGCCAUUGAGUCUCUUCUUUGAUAAAAGCUUUACAGAAGGUUGUUGGUGUAUUUACGAGGGAACAGAAUUGUUUUGAGACUUAAAUGAGCGUUGGGCCUUGGCCCAUUUGGAGUCUCCACUUCACUAUUACCAGUUCAAAUAUGUAAUGUGUACUUCCAAAAAAUAUAAAUUAUAAAGUAAUGAUGAUUUAUUAUGCAUUUUGAAAUAAAAUGUAUAUAAUUGAAUUUUGCCAUACAUUGUGAUUUCUUGUUAAGCUUUUGUAAACUGAUGAUCGUGUAUUAUUAUAAUCAUAUACUAGAUGUAAUUUAAAUGGUUUUAGUGAUUGUCAAAAAAAAAUUGGUUUUGGUUUGCCAUGUAGUAUUCCUCGAACCAACCACAUAAACUAACGACUCAAGAGUGACAAAGGAGACAUGUUUUAACGGAAAACGACUAGAACUUAUUACAGAAUAUGCCAGCUAACAAGCGCUCAGCUGGUUAAUACUGAACAAGAGAUGAGACUCGAGAGAUGAGCCCUCGAUUGAAGGAGCCAAUGACACUAUGGACUCAAGUACAUUGCUCUUAAAAUUGCAUCUGAUAGCAAACCAACUUUCAAAAUCCUGCUUCGGUUCAGCCUCGGGUUUGGCGAGUGUUGUAUGAUUUGCAGUCUGGACAUUUCUGAGCCACCACAUGGUACUGCACCUCCGAUUUUUUCCCACAGUCGUUGCAGAGGAUCUGAACCUGUUUUGUGUCCAUCAAAUGAUUUAGUUAUAUAUAAUCUGAUGAUUUUGAAUUCUUUACUUGGUUGAGCCUGAGGUGUAAUAAGAGUAAGUUUAGACUAACCAUUUUGUUCUGGUAUGGUUCUGGCAUUGGUGUAGCAGCAAUCUCCACGUCAAAUUUCUCCCACACCUUUGACAUGUCGCAUACAGAUUUUGAGCAAAGCGGGCACGCGUAUCUGCAGAGCACAGUUUACAGUGUUGUCAGUUGAAAGACAGCUACAAAUAACAACCCUGAGUUAUUUAUUACACUUACUGGUAAUGUUCUCUCAUUUCCUCCAAACACUUCUGAUGGAUGGUGUGUCCGCAGGGCAAAACUGUUACAUCGUUCCUUGAUUCAAACAGGUACUACAACAAAACCAUUAUUGCCGUUUUGUUUAGAGGGAUGCUCAAUUAGUGGAAGAAAAAUUGAAAGAAAAGAUACCUCAAAACAAAUGGGGCAGUCGUGAUGCAUUGCUCCUUCAACACAAGGGUGGCUGUUCUUGAGAAGGAUUGAGUAACAACAGCCUGGUUGAUAGUCAGAUUGUACAAGUCAAGAGAUUUAGUGGUGGCCAGCGUAAAAAAGUUCGAGGUUAUCUGAUGCAGAAAUUGGCUUACCACACUUGUAACAGUGAAAGAAAUUUUCAUGUCCGCCGAUUCUGGAACAAAAGAAGUAAAAAAGUUCCAAGUUAUGAACAAAUAUCUAACGUGAUAGAGUGAACAAAUCUUGUUGUAUGUUAAAGACGAGUCCAAGAACGUACCUGCAGAUUCCACAGCCGUCGCAGUGAUACUGCUUUUUAGAUGUCUGGAAACAAGAUAGAACAUAAUGGUUAACCAGCAGUAAUAGAGAAGCAAGAAAGAGAAAAUGAUCCAACAAUCAAGCUUAGGAAUAAAUUGUCUCAGGAAACUCACAUCAUCAUCGUAGAGCUUGCAGGCUUCACAGAAGUACUUCCCCAUGCACACUCCGCAGUUGGUACAAUUUUGGCGAACCUGGUGAAAACAGAGAAAACAGAGUUAAAUCUUCAAUAGAGUUGAGAAAAUGUUUGAUACCAUCCUAACUGAAACUUCUCAUUACUAAAAGCAGUAAACGUUCAGAAAAAGCAUAGAGUUUAGAACACACCUCUUGUUCAGUGCCACAGAGUAAGCAAAUAACCUGUGAAGACGAAGAUAGAGAUUCUGGAAUCAAGCAUAGAAGAAUAAACAUAGAGAAAACAAGGUAUUACAAACAACUUUACCUGUUCAACUUUCUGGCGAGGAAUAUCAUGACUCUGUUUCGGAUCUGCACUUAUAUUGUUCUGCUUCCAAGACAUGAUGAUUACACAUGUCAGCUUACAAAUCUAAUAAGAGUGAAAUCUAAAACCUGAAAUAAGAAACUCUACCUUUGCCUCAUAAUGACAGUGAUGGCAACCAAAGAUCUCAUCACAGCAAGGAGAUCUAAUGCAACACCUUCUUCUGUAAUGAGGACAUCUGCAAGAACAUUGGGAGAAAUUAGUUCAAGAGACACGCUCAGCUCUGGGGGAAUUCAAUGAGGAGGCAAAAAUUACCCAUGCUCCAUUAGUCCUCUGUCAAGGACUUCUUUUAAUGAUGACUCUGCCGCCUCGAGUUCGAGAAUCAACGACUCAGUUUCUUCAUUGCGUGAAUGAGGGCUGAGCAUCUCACUCUUCUCUCGGUCAGUCUUCUGUGGCUGCUCAACGAAAUGGUUGAAAUGUACCCUCUCCAUUACGAACUAUCUGUGAAUGAUACUGGCUAGCUGAUGGAAAAGCUUAUGUAACCUGCAAGCAAGAAAAGAUUUAGAACACAUAUUCAUCAUUUCCAAGUAAUAUGUCACCUGAAAAAACUGGAUGAACUGUUGCUUCCAUCUACAUUGCAGUAGACCAAUCCAAUCAUCACCAAGACAAUCCAGUUACGAAACGGCUCCAAUAAGCUUUCUCCAAGAGGCAAGUAACAUCAAAACAAGAAGAUUUACAAAGUAUAAAAACUAAACACAGCCCUCUUGGUUGAUGGAGCCUUCGUACAGAAAGAAAAGCUUAGCUCACUUCAGUUCUUGAAAUUCUGGGAAAACAUAUUCGGUUUAACCGGAUAUCCCCAACCUAUUGUAAAAGCAAGGUAAAGACUAUCAAACAACGUUUGGGACUGACGUAAAAAAAAUUGGAAUAACCGGGUUAAAAAAGAUGGGUCGGUGUCCAAAGAGGACAGACCUACCUCCCAUUGCCACUCUGCACCAAUAUUACUUCAGUAUGAAUCAGAAUUUUUUACUAAAGGAAUUAAAAGCCUGAAGAGUACUCUUUAGUUAUCAUCCAUCUUUGAAUCUGGCCUGAAGGAUGUACCAGUAACCAAAGGGACUAAAAAGACACGAGAACAUUCUACUAAGUUCACAAGCUCCAAAUGCUCUAAGGGAAACUCAAGGUGACACUUAGAUGAGACAACAGUGAGCAACCAGGACACUUUCUUCAAGAGCAACUACGAGGAACCUCUGUCCAUCCACUUUAGAUAAUAAACAGAGAAGGUUUAGGAGUUGCAUGAUCAAGGUAUGUAGGAUGAAGACAGCACAAGCACAAGUCUGGGUUAGCGAAGAGAAAGAGCAACACAAGAAGGAAUGUUUCCAAAGAAUCAAUACUUGUAGUAGAUCCAAGGCUCUCAGACUCUCACCUUGAAUCUCUGAGACACACACACAACAACUCCAACGAUGAUUCAUGAGCACGGUUCACCAAAUCCAAACACGUGUCAGAUAGAUUAUUAGGUCUAUGACCCAACCUAUUUGCAUUACCACCUAGAUUCUUGAAAACAAGAGUCUUAAGCUACAGCUUCUUCUGAACCAAAUCAAUCAAAGCUAAAAGCGUAUGAGAACAAUCAAUCACCAGAGAAAACAUCCAAGGGAACGAACGAACGAACGAACGAAGAAUCUAAAUCACGGAAACCUACAAAUAGAUAAAUUAAAAAUCACACACUACGAAAUAGAUCACGAACUUUCGAUCAGGCGAAUCUCCUUCCACCGAUUCGAUAGUCUCAGAGAGAGAGACGCUGCGAGAUUUUCCGACGGUUACUCCAGGAGCUCUGAGCGAGAAGCGAUUCGAUCUUAAGAGGAAACUUAAUGAGGACACCUUCUUUCCCUCCGCGUGUGGGGUGGUUUAUAUAGUGAGGCUUAGACUUUUUUCCAGAUACUUCGAAUUAUUGCCGUUUUCCGGCGCAAGCGAAAAUAUAUUUGUUCCUUUAAUUAUUUUUUAUUUGCUUUGUGUGUUGACAGCUAAAAUAUCUACCACCAUUCAUUUCCAUGAUUCCCCCCCCUAAGUUUUAAUAUCUUUUACCUCAAAAUGAAUAAUGUGAAGAGUGAAAAAUAAAUACAUUACACACGUCGCCAGCUAUUUUUCCAAACGUCUAAAUAAUAUUUAGAUUUCCACAACUGGAAUCAAUUAGUACAAUCUUUUCAACAGUUAAUGAAAAGAUUGCAUUUUUCAUUCUUUGUUUUUAGACGAAAAAACGUAUUUAGAAAAAAAUAUGUGAAUGAACUGAUAUUUUCACAUUAUUGCGUGGGAAAGGUUACUUACGUGUUGAACUUGAUUAACUUAUUGCGUGAGAUGGGGAUAGUGACGUGGCUUCUGAAUGAUUAGUUUGGAUUCUGAUUAGUUUACCUGUUUACGUAUUUACAAUACAUUCCCCUCCCUCAAGCUUAUCUUUAUGAUGUAGACACGUUAUCAACUCUUCUUCUCAAUCCUCUCCACCAAUACCAAUCACAUUUCCAUCUCAUAAAAAAUAAGUAGAUUUCUAUAGUUUGGGUGGCAAGACCGCAAUGUAUUUUAAAAUGUCUAGUGUUUAUUUGGUUAAAUUCGUGUGAUAUCCUAAUAUUAGUUUUGGUAUACUUUAUACACAAUUUUCUUUGUACGAUUUGUAUUUGAUUUGUUAAAAAGGAAAAUAUAUAUUUUCAAGUACUUAAAAAAAAAAAAGAUAGCGGACUUGCAAAUUAGUUAUCCUAUUUUAUAAGAAUUUGAAAUUAAAUAAGUAUAUUGUUUAUAAAGAAAUUAUAUUUAUUUUUUAUGCUUUACUCAAUGUUGGUCAAACUAAAUAUCCGAUUUUAUGUAUUAAGUAGAGAUCAAAUAGCAAGUAUGGACGGGGUAAUGGAAAAUUGUGCCCACUGCUAUGUAAAUUGGUACAAAAUGAUUUUUUGAGUAAUAUUUAUUUAUUUGGGUAACUGGUUUAACUCCGUCGAUCUAAUGGACCGGUGGAUCUGAGAUUGGUUUAGGGUGAACCGGAGAAAGAUGUUCAAAUUCUCUUUUUGUUCUGACAGUGAUACACCAAAGUCAGCCAUUUAUGAGUAGCCGGCCACGUCACCACACUAUUAACCGGGUCAAGGAUAAGAUAAAGACGUUUCCAAACAAGGCCCUACCGUGAUGCGACCUUCAAGUAAACGCUCGUUCUUUGCGAUUCCUCCGCUUACCAUAUAAAUACAGAAAAAAGUCCAUCAUUGACAGUUACGAUCGUCUCUCUUCUCCAACGCUUCCGAUCUCUUCUUUCGUUUCUGGUAAGCUCAUUUUCUCUCCAUCGUUUCUGCUUCUCCGUUGACUGCGAUUCUCGACGCGAUCGUAACGCUGUGCGCGCGCGCGCCUGUUCGUGUUCUCUUAGAUUCGAAUCAGUUCCGUUAGAUCAUACUUUUGUGAACGAAGAACGUUUGAGUUUCCGUGUAUGUAGUCUCGUUGAUUUGUGCGAUUUAUGUUAAUGUGAUGAUGCGUUAGGUUCUCGGCGUAGAUUAGUGUUGAUCGGUACCUAAGGCGUGCGUUAACAAGAGAAAGCUGAUCUUACUAACCUGUAACGAUAUGCCUUGUGUUUUCUUCGCCUACAUUGAUUUUGAUUGAUUGAUUGAUACCUAAGGCGGUUAACAAGAGAAACUGAUCUUAUUAGUGAUAUCAAUAUUGAUCUCUUGUGAAUUGUGAUCUUCUUGAUUAGUAUUUUGAGUUAGCGAUGAAGCCAGGAGGAUCAGGAUUGAAUCCGAACGCAGCAGCUUACGUACCAAUCUCCAAAAGAGACGGUGAUUCUGCAAAGCCUGCUGCAUCUGAGAAGCAGAUGAGUGAUGAGGAUUUGGAGAUGGACGUGGACAUUGAGUUCCUUUUAGCCACGUUCUCUGACUUGUCAUAUGAGUCUAUCAGUGAUGUGUACUUGGCUAACAAUGGUGAUCUGGAUGCUACUAUCGAAAUGCUGACUCAGCUCGAGGUGAUUCAUCUCACUAGUACACUUGAUUUACACUAGUGUAGAUUGUGAAGCUUAAGCUGUGUUACAAUUGAUGUUCCGAUUCUGCAGAUUUUCAGUAAUGAAGCUGAGGAAUACCUUCCAGACACACUUGACAUUGGUGAUGUACCUGAAACCAUCAAGCCUUCUACUUCAUCAGCUCCAAAGCAGACGAAUGCAAGUGCAUCAACAUCCUCCCGUGCCCCAAACGCUCCCUCUUCCUGAUUUGAUGAGUCUUUAAAUUUGAAGUUUUAUAAAACAUUCGUGUAAAGGAUGAUUAUAUGAUAUGAGGUUGAUGGGUUAUCUUAGGAGAUCUCUUUUCUAUAUUUUCCUGCCCCGAUGCUUUGUUACAUUGGAGAAAAAGAGAGAGUACAAUGUAUAGAUUUUUUGAAAAUAUCAAGUAUGAGUGUUGAGAAUUGGGAUUGUUCUUAUGGUGGACAAAGCUAUUAAUCAUUAACCUCUGAUGCUCUUUCGGCCAUUUUUAUUAUUUUUCUCUUCUUUUGCUCAUUGCGCUGCUAAAUAUUUUUGCAUCUUCUCUUCACCACAUGUUUGACGUAUGGAAUUGAUUUUGUUCUUUGGUAUAUUUCUAAUGUUUACAUCCAUUAACUGUAUCUUAACAAUGUUAAUGUUGUCUUUUUAUUUUUUCUCCCAUUAAUACAAGAUUUUAUUCCCCAGUAAGUUGUUCAAAGAUGGAAUCUAAACGUUGUCUGUGGGUCUGUAAUAAUUAAAUGAAUAAACGUGCAGCUACAUUUGCGGCCCUCUUCUCUCUCUCUCUAAGUAUUAUUAUUAGAAUCAUCUAAAAAUACCUCCAUAUACUUGCUCGAUUUGGUUUCUUCUUCUUUCCUUUUUCUCCUUUUUCAUCAUUCAUCUGGUGAUGCAGGAGAUCUGAUUGAUUUUUUUCUUCUGGGGUUUUGUUUUAGAGGAAGAAAGAAAUUCAAAAUAAUAAUAAAAAGAUGGGUUUGGAUUAUUACACCAUAUUGAAGGUUGACAAGAAUGCAACGGAGGAUGAUCUCAAGAAAUCUUACAGAAAAUUGGCUAUGAAAUGGCAUCCUGAUAAAAACCCUACCACCAAAACCGAAGCUGAAGCCAAAUUCAAACAGAUCUCCGAGGCUUAUGAGGUAACUUUUUUUCUCUUAUAAUCUUGUUCCUAAUCUUGAUUCCCUUAGAUCCCCAAAAUAUCCAAAACUGUGUGUGUGUAUGUAUGUCUUGUUGAGAUCCAUUCCUUUGACUAAUAAUGAGUUUCUUGGGACACAAGCAAAAUGUACCUCCUCAAAGCCUAUUUUCUGAGUGUGGGAAAACAUUUCAGGUUCUGAGUGAUCCUCAGAAGCGAGCAGUAUAUGAUCAAUACGGUGAAGAAGGACUAAGCGGUAUGCCGCCUCCCGGGAGCACAGGAAACAACGGAAGAGCAGGCGGGUUUAACCCUAGAGAUGCAGAAGACAUAUUCGCAGAGUUCUUUGGAAGCAGUCCAUUUGGUUUUGGAUCAGCUGGUGGUGGUCCUGGAAGGUCAACAAGAUUCCAAUCAGACGGAGGAGGAAUGUUCGGCGGAAACAACGGUAGUGAGAACAUGUUCAGGACUUACAGCGACGGCACUGUGCCUAAGAAACCACCACCCGUUGAGAGCAAGUUGCCUUGUAGCCUUGAAGAGUUGUACACUGGAUCGACAAGGAAAAUGAAGAUCUCUAGAACCAUUGUUGACGCUAACGGGUAAUCUUUGUUUCCAUUUUAUCGCAUUCACCCGUAAGAUCUUGAGGGCGGACUCUGAGAUUUUGGAGGUUAUAGAGAAUAAGAAUUUUAUUUAAAAUAAUUUGAAGUCUAUAUAUAUCUAUAGAAAUUAAUUUUUAAAAUUGUUUUUACUGGACUGUGUCUAGGACCGGUCUCAUGUGUUGUUUUGGAUGGUGAAACAGGAGACAGGCGCAAGAGACAGAGGUUCUAACGAUUGUUGUGAAACCAGGAUGGAAGAAAGGGACCAAGGUCAAGUUUCCAGACAAAGGAAACGAGCAAGUGAAUCAAUUACCAGCUGAUUUGGUGUUUGUGAUAGACGAGAAGCCGCACGAUUUGUUCAAGAGAGAUGGGAAUGAUCUCAUCACAAGCGCGAAAGUGACGCUUGCGGAAGCUAUAGGAGGAACAACUGUGAGUAUCAAGACGCUUGAUGGGAGGAAUCUACCCGUUGGUGUCACGGAGAUAGUCAGUCCAGGGUAUGAGCUUGUGGUUCCUGGAGAAGGGAUGCCGAUAGCUAAGGAAAAAGGAAACAGAGGUGAUUUAAAGAUUAAGUUUGAUGUUCAGUUUCCGACAAGGUUGUCAACGGACCAGAAGUCUGCACUCAAAAGGGUCUUAGUGGGUUGAAGAGUUGAGAUUUGGAAUCCCUCUCAAUGCUCUUGCAGUCAUGGUGAUGGUACCUUCCUUUGUUUUUGUUGUUGUUCAUUAGUUCUUUCUGUAAAGACUUUGUAGCAUGUUCUUGAUGUGUCUUAAAAACAACCUGUACAAAUCUUUGAUUGUGUUUGUUGCAUACUAUUAAACUUUAAGCUCUUGUUCUUAAAUAUUCCGGUUUACAAUUCUAUUAGCAUGCUACAAUAAAUAUAAGUCAACAAACCUAACAAAAACAUACUAUAAUAUUAGAGAAAGGAACAAAGAGAUAAAUGUGAAUGACAUAGGAGUAGAGACAUAUGUUUCCUCAUUCGAUAAGUUCAUGUUGCCACACAUGGACUCAUCUUCUUUUAUAGCUGAAAAUGGCAUAUGGUGAAUGGAAGUUUCCUCCAUAUAGGUAGAGAGAUACUCCGCUCCCAUAUUAAUGGACAUGAUACACCACAACUGUAUGCAACAUUCACUUCAAAAUAUUCAUGGAAACAGAUGGACAGAGUUUUGUGGUUAAUCUUUCAACUGUUAAGCAAAGGAGGAGAAACAUACUAGUGGUUAACGUGGAUUCCACGGCACACGUAGAUGAAAUAAAACGGCCUAAUUCAAAUAAACAAGGCCCAAACUCAGUGUUAGCUUUGAUAAUAAACGGGCCUUGGCAUUUGCUUAGGAUACCUCAUUAAUGAAUCCAACGGUUGUAAUCACGUGUCAGUGUCUUAUCAGACGGACGCUAUAAUUGCAUGCGAGCUGUUAAUUAAUAAUUAUUACCAGAAAACAAAACCGCUGUUUUUUUCGAUAAAAUCAAAAAACUAAAUUGCCCAGAAAAUACCAUCAUUUCUCUCAGCAAUCGAGAAAGUAAAAAAAAAACAAUCAAUCAACACACUGUUCCUUCUCCUCCUCGAUCCAAACUCUUGUUUUAAUUAUUCCUCUCGUAUAUUUAAAAAAAAAAAAAACAAAAUCGAAACCACUGUUUCCUUUCACCUCCCAGAUUUGCUUUUUUCAAAUUUCCUCUCUAGAUUUCAGAAAACUUUCCUCUUUUGUUUAAUUCAAACCCAAAGGGUCUCCUCUCUCACUAGGAAUCAUGAGAUGAAGAUUUGAGGAGAAAGCUUGUAAUCAUUAGGGUUUCCAAAUUAUCCAAAAGUAGAAACCUUAUUUUGUUCCGGAUCUGUGGUUCUGUCGGGGGGAUGAAGAAUGUUCAGUCCUAACACAACAUUUUAAUCUUCCUCUUUCGAUAUCCAUCGCUAUGUUCAAGCAGUUCCUCAGCAAGCUUCCUCGGAAGUCGUCCUCAAAACCCGACUCCACCUCGGAUCCAUCCGGAUCCAGCGUCGUCAGAUCCAACUCCGUCAAACGCAUGUCCUCCGCCGUCUUCCCCUCCAGCGUCGUCGCCGGAAUCGAGCCUUUGGUCCCCUUCAAAGACGUCCCGACCUCCGAGAAGCUAAACCUCUUCGUCUCCAAACUCAGCCUCUGCUGCGUCACCUUCGACUUCUCCGACCAAACCAAGAACUCACUCGAGAAAGACGUCAAAAGACAGACUCUCCUCGAGCUCCUCGACUUCGUAUCCUCCUCCUCCUCCGUUAGGUUCACCGAGCCAGCCAUCCUCGCGAUGUGCAAGAUGUCAGCCGUUAAUCUCUUCAGAGUAUUCCCUCCUAGUUACCGAGAGAGAAACGAUAGUGAUGAUAAUGAUCCCACGUUCGAACCUGCUUGGCCUCACCUGCAGAUCGUUUACGAUCUGCUGCUUAAGUUCAUCACGUCUCCUUGCCUAGACGCUAAGUUAGCUAAAAAGUAUCUAGACCACGGGUUUAUACUAAGGCUCCUCGAGUUGUUCGACUCCGAGGAUCCGAGAGAGCGUGAGUGUUUGAAGACAAUCCUCCAUCGCGUCUACGGGAAGUUCAUGGUUCACAGACCUUUUAUCCGCAAAGCAAUGAGCAACAUCUUCUACAGCUUCGUCUUCGAGACCACCGAGAAGCGCGGCGGGGGAGGAAUCGCCGAGCUUCUCGAGAUUUUCGGGAGCAUUGUGAGCGGUUUCGCUUUGCCUCUCAAAGAGGAGCAUAAGAUCUUCCUGUGGAGGGUGUUGAUUCCGUUGCACAAGGCUAAAUCCGUUGGGGGGUAUUUUCACCAGCUGUCUUAUUGUGUGACUCAGUUUAUUGAUAAGGAGCCGAAGCUUGGGAGCGUUGUGAUAAAGGGUUUGUUGAAGUUUUGGCCUGUGACGAAUAGUCAGAAGGAGGUUAUGUUUCUUGGGGAGGUUGAGGAGAUUGUGGAGGUGAUGAGUUUGGUGGAGUUUCAGAAGGUGAUGGUUCCUUUGUUCUUGAGGAUUGCUGCUUGUGUUAACAGUUGUCACUUUCAGGUAGGUUUCUUGCUUUCUUUUUAAGAGAUAUUGUUAAUCUAAAAUUAUUUUUAGACACUGUUUUUUUUUAAAUAAUAUUAACGGUAUAAUUAACUAAGUUCUAAAAGUUAAUAGACGUUUUUUUGAAAUUAUAAGCUCUAAAUUUAGCUUUUUUGAUCAAAAUUUUUGAAGUUUUAGACCAUAAUUUAUGUAUAUAUUUUUGAAAUUUUAUUUUUAAAAAAGUUUUAGCAGUAUAAUUUUGAAGUAUAAGUUUUAGCUCUAAAUUUCAGUAGUAAAUCUAAAAUUUUGAUGUUUUAGACCAUAAUUUAUGUAUAUAUUUUUGAAAAAUUAUUUAUUUUAUUUUUUAGAUCCACUUAGAUGGCCUUGAUCUCAAUUUAAGCAGUGUAUUAUUGAAGUGUAAGUUUUAGCUCUAAAUUUCAGCAGUAAAUCUAAAGUUUUGAAGUUUUAGACCAUAAUUUAUGUAUAUAUUUUUGAAAAAUUAUUUAUUUUAUUUUUUAGAUCCACUUAGAUGGCCUUGAUCUCAAUUUUGGAGUUUGAACCGUUUGUGUUUUUCUUGUGGUUUAGGUUUCUGAGAGAGCUUUGUUCUUGUGGAACAACGAUCAGAUUGUGAAUUUGAUUGCACAGAACAGGCAAGCCAUCUUACCGAUCAUGUUCGCUGCCUUGGAGAAGAACGCUGAAAGCCACUGGAACCAGUCCGUGCUGAACUUAACUCUAAACGUGAGGAAAAUGUUUUGUGAGAUGGACGAGGCUUUGUUCAUGUCUUGCCACGCGCGGUUUCAGGAGGACGAAGCAGAGCAAUGCUCUGCGGAGGAAAAGAGGAAAGAAACAUGGGCGAGGCUAGAGAAGGCGGCAAGUAUGAAGCCUGUAACUGGAAAGACAGCUGUUCUUGUAACUCCUUUAGCAACCUCCAUUGCCUGCUAAAUGAAGAUGAUGGAAUGGCUGUUGGUUAAGCUAUGGUCUGGAUUUGAUCUUUGUAAUGUUAUAUAGUUUUGAUGUUGUUAGCUUAUGUGGGUUUUAUGCUAAAUCUCUU
Molecule: long non-coding RNA, 33524 nt
Filed under: Brassica napus (rape)
Lineage: Eukaryota; Viridiplantae; Streptophyta; Magnoliopsida; Brassicales; Brassicaceae
Description: long non-coding RNA (BNAP_LNC012390)
Source: RNAcentral